UAACACGUGGGCAACCUGCCUGUAAGACUGGGAUAACUUCGGGAAACCGAAGCUAAUACCGGAUAGGAUCUUCUCCUUCAUGGGAGAUGAUUGAAAGAUGGUUUCGGCUAUCACUUACAGAUGGGCCCGCGGUGCAUUAGCUAGUUGGUGAGGUAACGGCUCACCAAGGCAACGAUGCAUAGCCGACCUGAGAGGGUGAUCGGCCACACUGGGACUGAGACACGGCCCAGACUCCUACGGGAGGCAGCAGUAGGGAAUCUUCCGCAAUGGACGAAAGUCUGACGGAGCAACGCCGCGUGAGUGAUGAAGGCUUUCGGGUCGUAAAACUCUGUUGUUAGGGAAGAACAAGUACGAGAGUAACUGCUCGUACCUUGACGGUACCUAACCAGAAAGCCACGGCUAACUACGUGCCAGCAGCCGCGGUAAUACGUAGGUGGCAAGCGUUAUCCGGAAUUAUUGGGCGUAAAGCGCGCGCAGGCGGUUUCUUAAGUCUGAUGUGAAAGCCCACGGCUCAACCGUGGAGGGUCAUUGGAAACUGGGG
RNAcentral lists this ribosomal RNA (541 nucleotides) under Priestia megaterium. Its description in RNAcentral is "bacterial SSU rRNA". It matches the Rfam family "Bacterial small subunit ribosomal RNA", at positions 111 to 638 of the family's 1533-position model. The record is from RNAcentral. Lineage: Bacteria; Bacillati; Bacillota; Bacilli; Caryophanales; Bacillaceae.